Molecule: non-coding RNA, 95 nt
Organism: Mycena galericulata
Lineage: Eukaryota; Fungi; Basidiomycota; Agaricomycetes; Agaricales; Mycenaceae
Source: the annotation of a GenBank genome assembly
GCGCCUAUUGUCUAAUGGUCUAUGACAUCAGACUUCUACCGAUUUCAUUGAUAUCUGGUAUCUGGGGGUUGCAGGUUCGAGUCCCGCUAGGCAUU